UUAAAAGUUAAAUAUAGUGGACAAAAACUAGAAGGUCCAACUAGAUCCAUUGCAGUGGAACAUCUCACGGUAAUUGCGGCAGCACCACGCCCCACAGCGAUCAAACAAUGGUUUAAUCUUUGGUAAACGGCGGUUAUGGCCGUCCGUGGAUUUCAGAUUAUGCUCUCAAGUCUCAACCUCUACGGAGUCUGGUUAAAUUGGGCAGUCAAAACAAAACAAAGUUCCCUACAGUGUCAGACACUGUGAAGGAGGCGUGGCUACAUUUAAAGAUUGAUCUCAUCAGGGCACCUGCCUUGACGCACCCUGACUACUCAAGACCGGUUCAACUGUAAGUUGCUUUAGCACGCAACGCAAACUGUCAGAGGCAUAACUCCCUGCUUCAGGGGUUAGCAGCCGCAGCGUACGCUUACGAGAAGGCCUCAACGAUUUCCAUGGGUCAUGCUUUGACGUUGUACACCGGCCAUGGUCUUCACGCCUUGCUCAUGGCACCACAUUUUGUAAUCACGACUGCGCGACGCUUAAAUGAUGACGUCAUACUUUCCGUUACUGAGAUAACGAUUGCACGCUGUUGCACGGUUAAGCCGGCAGAGCAUCUUACUCUUCUUAUCAAGGUAGUCCUCACGAUUGCGUGGCAAUAUCCAACGACCUACUCAGGGCGUGUGAUGAUCUGGAGGCGGGGCCAUUACCGGCACCCCAGAUCUCUAUGGUUGUUGAUGGUUCGGGUUACAGGUCAAGUUCGGGUCCUGUGGCAGGUUUUGCUGUGGUUGCUCCCACGCCGGAGUCAACGGAGUCAACCUCGUACCGGACCCUCUUGGCUGAACCGUUGUUCUCUCCUUUGUCUGCACAGGCAGGUAUUGUUGGAAAAGUGUGUCUUUUAGGUUCCGGCGGAGGAUAUAGAGACUUUCUGCUGUCCUGAUGUCAGUGAGGAGCUCGGUCCACCACUGAGAAGCCGGAACAGCAAACAGUCAUGAUUUUGUCAGGUGAGUAAUUUGUUGUAUCUUUUGACAACACGAUAAUGAAUAAAUAUGUCUGUCAUUGAGGGUCAAGCAGAGGUUAGAUUGGGGGUGUCAUGCCCAGUCCCAGGGACUGGUAGAGAGAGAGAGAGAGAGAGCUAGUGGUACACUGAAAGCAAAGCUAUCCAGAAUCUAGAAUGGACUGGCUGACGGCUCUGUCGUUGGCAUUAAUGAGCAUGAGAAUACAAACUAGCCGUAGUACACAGUUAACUCCCCAUGAGAGGCUGACCGGACGGCCUCGGCCCGUACCGUACCAGGGAGACCUGAUAAAGGUCCCCCAUGGAAGGUGUUAGCCAAAGAAAUACGAAGCUAUGUCCAGGGAGCGGCAGGUAGGCAGGAAGCACUGUGUCAACAGGUGGAAGGAGCCACGGAGGAGAGGCAUGUGGGACCAGACCCACAGGAGGAGGAGGUCCAUCCGAGGAAGGGGGACGAGCCACGGCAGACUGGACCCCACCUGGUGGUACUGGCCACGCCCACCGCAGUGAAGAGAAACCACACUGGAACCACCUCACACACUGCACCGAGGCAGAAGCACCUGAAGGAAGGCCAGAGGAGAGGAGACCAUCACGGCAAAGCCCCGCCGGCCACAGAGGCGAGGAGAAGCAAGGCGUGGCCAAUCCACACCAGAACACCAGCAGACGGCUGAGGGAGCUGGAGAGGGGGAUGACCUUCACACUCACAGAAAGGAGAGAACAAUAUGGAGAGCCCAGCUGAAAGAACAAUGCCCGUCUCAUGGAACCCCAAGAAGAAGACGUGGUCCCUAGCAAUAGGAGGUAACAGCCAUUAUCGGACUAAAGGUCAGAUUGACCUGCGAUGAUGUCGGUUCAUCAGGGUGGCUCUAGGGAACCCUGCGAUUGUGAUAAAUGUGUUUUAUAACCUAAUAUUGUUGGGGCUUGCAUUUCUUAUCAGGUCUAAUCACCUGAGAAAAACAGCAUAUUCUGCCAUUGACUAGUCGAGUUGCCUUAAGUGACAUUAGUAGAGUGUAACCCUUAUAAAAGGACAUUCCUGUUUACUUAUGUGAUGUGAUAAUAAUGGAUAACAAGAUAUAAGCAAUAACGCCCCAAAGGACCCGACCCCAAAGAAGACCUGCAGCAGCUCAUGCAUUCAUCCACCAGGUGCUGGUAACCUGAUGCAUGAGCGCUUCCUGCUGGACGCAAAGUACAUGAACCAGAAGAGUCACAGGAGCAACAACGUUUUAUGUUUUGUGGAAGACUUGGGUCUCCCAAGGGGGGAAUGUGGUGGGUAAAAUGUUUCAAAUUGGGUGUUUCCACAACAUAUAUACAUCGGGUGUAUUAAACUUUUACAUUAUGUUAUAUUAGGCUUAAAUGACAUCUACAAAGAUGAUUGAGAGGGCACACACAGCUCUCUCCCUCAGACAAGGGUCAACAACGCCAGACAGAGAUAGACCCAGCGGCCUUGUGCUGCUCCAGUCUGAACCGGUGGAGAGGAGGCUGCAGAGAGGACCAGGAGGCUCAGACACAAUAACGAUAAGAGAAGAGACGAGGGGGGAGACGUCAGCAAGAAACCUCACAUUCCUUAAAGUAACCGGCUUGGACUGGGACAGAGGUCACACUGAGGUCACUCUGAGUGACGAGAACUAAUAUGUAAUGAGGGAGUGGACGGAGGCGGCACCCGCAUUGAGUGUGAUGUAUAAACAAUAUGUCAAUGUGUUUGUUCGGGGCUUGUGAAAGACAGAUGUGGAGGGAGGUCGUUGUCUUUAAUACCCAGACCAGGUUUAUUUGUGAAACUGUUGGUUUCAAAUAAAUCUACGUGAAUUGAACUCUGAUCCAAACUCUCUGUGUCCUGUGGGUGUUUGAUUCCUGAGGUCCAGAGGGUGAGUAUCCUGUGGCGUCUCACCAGCAGUCAGAGAGGAGAGAGAUACACGUUUAUAUGCAUCAGGUUAAGAGAUUAGUUAGAAUGGACCAAAAAGGAAGAAAUCCAGCCACAACAGAAACCAAUAUUGUCUUGAGCUAUAUGAAUCAAUGCGUUUUGCAGCCGAGUGUGAAGCGGCGGGGAUGAGAGUCAGCGCCUCCAAAUCUGAGGCCAUGGUAGAUUAUUUACUGUUUUAACUGCUUAUUAUUUAUUAAUAAAGUCUUUGUUUUACUAUGUCUUGAUUGUGCACUUUACCCCUUUGCUCUAAUCCUGUUUAUGUCCUGCAAUAAAAGAUGAUCUCAU
Pseudoliparis swirei is the source of this 3188-nucleotide long non-coding RNA. RefSeq lists it as uncharacterized. The transcript is spliced from 2 exons. Lineage: Eukaryota; Metazoa; Chordata; Actinopteri; Perciformes; Liparidae. The record is from RefSeq and is a predicted model, not a curated record.